ACAUGACACUUUGUUAUGACUUCAUGGCGGUGUAGCAACAUGGAACAAGGUCCUACUCCUCCAGGAAGAUGAUGGAGAAUGCUGAAACUGUGCUCCAAGGCCACGAGAAGGAAAAGGCCUGGAUUUUCUCUUCACUCUCUUUCAGUCCUGCUGCCUCCCAGUUUCUCCAGGGGAGUUUUUGUCUCCCUAGGGCUUAAGGAGGAUCCUGGGCUCACGUGCUCAGGAUGUUUGAAAGAACCAAAAACAGGAAGGAGAAGAAACAGGCCCUGUUUGUUAGGAAGCAGAAAAACAAAGAUGCAGAGUGGUAUGGGAAGGAGAACACCUGCCUGAGAGACUGGGGUCUGAAUUCCAUCUCUGCCUUUCACUCCCCAUGUGACCUUGGGCUGGUCCAUGUACCACUGUAGACCUCAGUCUUCUCAUCUGCCCAAUGGAUAAGCAACUGGAUAUUUGAAGACCCUGUGGACAUGGAUUCCUAAUAAAGGUCCUUCGAAUUUUCACUACUUCUGGGUGUAGAUAAAAUUAAUUCACAUAUAAUGGAAAGACAAAAUGUGGUAUAUCCAUACAACAGAAUACUAUACAGGAAUAAAAAUGAAUGAAUCACAGAUACAAGCAACCACAUGGAUGAACCUCAGAAACAAGACUCUUCAGUGAAAGAGGCCAGACAUAAGAGACCAACCACUCCAUUCAGAUGGGAUGUCCAGAAAAAUGGAAUCUAUAGAGACAGAAAGAAAAUUGGGGUUACCUGGGAUGGGGGUGAGGGAUUGCAGUAAAUAUGCAUGAGGGAUAUUAUUGGGGUGAUGGAAAUGUUCCCAAAUUGAUUUACUGUGAUGGUAUGCAACUUUGUAGAUGUACUAAAAUGUCAUUGAAUUGUGCACUUGAAACAAGUGAAUGAUGUGUAAAAUGUGCAAUACAGUUAUUUAUAAAAUAAAAAAUUAACAUAUAUGCAUCACACUACUUAUAAUGCAUUUAAAAAUAACUUAUAGACAAUGUAACACAAAUAAAUAGUUUCUUUCCCAAGGAGG
Molecule: long non-coding RNA, 1022 nt
Filed under: Homo sapiens (human)
Lineage: Eukaryota; Metazoa; Chordata; Mammalia; Primates; Hominidae
Description: HSALNT0098211
Source: RNAcentral